Molecule: long non-coding RNA, 2023 nt
Organism: Dromaius novaehollandiae (emu)
Lineage: Eukaryota; Metazoa; Chordata; Aves; Casuariiformes; Dromaiidae
Exons: 3
Source: RefSeq, a predicted model, not a curated record
AAAGCACCCCGGCAGCUCAUGGUGGGACUCUUGUGAUCAUUUCACUGAGCCUCCUUUUACUGUCUGUUUCUGCUAGACUAACUUCUCUUCAAAAAUGGGUGCUGGAAGCCAAGGAACUUCUUGUAGGAGAUGGUGUCCCUCACCGCUUUUUCCUCAGCAGUAUGAAUUUAUCCUGCUUCAUAAGACUGAAUCUCUACAAGGUGUUGUCUCCAGCAACUGCAUCAUCUGCAGGACUGUAGAAAAUCCUCCGCAACACUGGAAGUUUACAACCUUGACUUCAGUUUGACAGAGAGCUGGGACGUUCAAUAUGCUCGUAUAUAACUGACUCUGUGUUGCUCAACGAUGAGUCCUUCUGGCCCUUGCAAGUUGAGAAAAUUCUCUGAGAAGAUUUUUUCUUAGCUCCCUGAGUCUGAUGUGAUUUUUCUCUACCCUUACCCUAUCUUUAUGUGGCCUUUGUUUUUUUCUAUUGUCAUGUUGUUCCACUUGUUCUUGCCCCAGUGUGGCUCACAUGAAAACUUUUGAGGAACUUACAGUCAGACCGUACUUUACUAUCGCAAGGCUACAUGACAAUCGGGAAAGAAAAGCAUGGGCAUUAACCAGUUUAAAUGAUAAACUCCUACUGCGUUCCACUGCAGUUAACUGAAGACACACAUGAAGAAUCUUGUACUUUCCCAUCCUAUCACUGUAGAAAUAUGUCAUAUUGUUUUAACAAACUGCUGAAGAGGAAGAAAUAUUUUUGAUGUGAACCCACUUCUCCACUCUCCAGUAUCCACAACCAGAAAAGUUACUUUAGUUUCAUUGUACUCCUUGAUUUUUUUGAACUUUGUUUGCUGUGCCUGGACUAUUCCACUGUUUUUGCAUGCCAGGUCCUCAUCUGUUCUGACAGGAUACUUCUUGAGACCUAAACAGGGUAGGGAAAUUAAAAAAAGUGCAUUAUGUGUGUAAGCCCUUUCCUGUGGGUUUUUCCACACCUUUUAGGUUCUCCACCUGCAAAUGGGUUCAGGCAAACAGCAUUCUCACAGAGCUUGGUGCCCUCCGUGGGUAUGUCGUUGCUUACACAAAUCAGGUUGUAGGCGGGACAUGAUUCAGCAGCAAGUAUGUUGCUGCUGCUAUGUAAGUUACCUCCAAACCCCACAUUUUGAGUCUCCAAAAAUUCUGUCUUUAUUUGACAUUAUUGAUUUGCUGGACUGGUUUAUUUAAGGACAAGCUGUAUUGUAGAAGAGGCACAAUCUUAAUCCUUAACAAUAGCAAAUAUAGAUUCUCUUCAUAAUAGAAACACAUCAAAUAUUUCUGUUCCCUGCUGUGCAUGCAUAGCUUUCAUAUUGGGAUACAAAUAAAUGCACUAUGAAGGAAAAGCUCUUUUCCAUUGAUGGCCAAGAGUAUAUGCCAUUGCUUGGGAAAGAAUAUUAUUGCCUUAUUUUUUUUCCCUAGAUGGUAUUAUACUUCACCUCCCUUCCCCCUGUACUUGGUUUAUUUACCUUCAACAGAAAUUCUUCCUAUCUGGAGGGAUUACGGUAGCCUAACUCGACUUUCUCUUCAUUUCUUUUAAUGUCAGCAUCUCAUCGCUGUAUAAGGGGAAAUAAAGCUCCUGAAGACUUUGGGUACAUUAACAGUAUUUUAAAUACUCAAGAAAACUUUUUAAAACAAGUCACUUUUUUAUUUAAAAAAUUUUUGAAUCAAAAAUGGAAACUUUUUUCCUAUUUUCAUUUUCCAAAAACCAAGUCAUUAAAAAAAUGAAUCUUCUGUAGAGGUAGUAUGAUAUUUCGUGCAUAGAAUGUCACUGUUAGCUUCCAGUAAGGUUACAAAAAGGGGUCUUGGAGGCAAGAUAAGCAUCUGAUUCAGAUAGACAUUGGAAUAUGAGACACAGAACUAUUGGAUGUGGUACUGUAGCACUGAAAUAACUCCUAAUCUUAAGAAAAAUGUACCUAAUCUACAGUAAAUAAUUCCUAAAAGAAAUUUUGGCUGGCUUAUUGCUUGUUUUCAGAGAUGCUAAUUUUUUGAUGACCAGCAAAUCUGUGCUAAU